This 257-nucleotide ribosomal RNA is filed under the name uncultured prokaryote. RNAcentral describes it as "partial 16S ribosomal RNA". It matches the Rfam family "Bacterial small subunit ribosomal RNA", at positions 524 to 780 of the family's 1533-position model. The record is from RNAcentral.
UACGUAGGUGGCAAGCGUUAUCCGGAAUUAUUGGGCGUAAAGAGCGCGCAGGUGGUUGAUUAAGUCUGAUGUGAAAGCCCACGGCUUAACCGUGGAGGGUCAUUGGAAACUGGUCGACUUGAGUGCAGAAGAGGGAAGUGGAAUUCCAUGUGUAGCGGUGAAAUGCGUAGAUAUCUGGAGGAACAUCAGUGGCGAAGGCGGCCACCUGGACCGAUAUUGACGCUGAGAUGCGAAAGCGUGGGUAGCAAACAGGAUUA